Long non-coding RNA from Clupea harengus (Atlantic herring), 1653 nucleotides. Lineage: Eukaryota; Metazoa; Chordata; Actinopteri; Clupeiformes; Clupeidae. The record is from Ensembl.
GGGGCAGUGGGAUGGAGGUGGGAUGGAGUGAUAGCAGGGGACUACAUAACAGAUCUGGGGUCCGUCUCUACAAAGCGCAGCUCGACAACCACCGUGGUAACCAGGGAGACACACUUUACGGGAAAGGCUUCACUGAUUCGCUUCAUUUGGUUAGAUAGUGAUUGAACCUUCGGAAUAACUUCAUGCAAAAUAAGGGUCUGGAUCCUUUCUGUAGUCAGAGGCUUUCUAGGGAUAGUCACGCAAGACUCAGAUAUAGUACACAAGACUCUUGUUUUAGUACACAAGACUCAGUUAUAGUACACAAGAAUCUUGUUAUAGUACACAAGACUCAGAUAUAGUACACAAGACUCAGUUUUAGUACACAAGACUCAGUUAUAGUACACAAGACUCUUGUUUUAGUACACAAGACUCAGUUAUAGUACACAAGCCUCUUGUUUUAGUACACAAGACUCAGUUAUAGUACACAACACAAGACUGUUGUUAUAGUACACAAGACUCUUGUUUUAGUAUACAACACAAGACUCAGUUAUAGUACACAAGACUCAGUUAUAGUACACAAGACUCUUGUUAUAGUACACAAGACUCAGUUAUAGUACACAAGACUCUUGUUUUAGUAUACACAAGACUCAGAUAUAGUACACAAGACUCAGUUAUAGUACACAAGACUCUUUUUUUAGUAUACAACACAAGACUCAGAUAUAGUACACAAGACUCAGUUAUAGUACACAAGACUGUUGUUAUAGUACACAACACAAGACUCAGUUAUAGUACACAACACAAGAGUUUUAGUACACAAGACUCAGAUAUAGUACACAAGACGUCUCAGUUAUAGUACACAAGACUCAGUACACAUUGUUAUCGUUUGUCUAUAGCGCUAAGUACUGUGUAACAAUCAGUGUUGCUACUGGUGUAAAACACCAAUUUGAUACUCUGUUCUCACAUAGCCCUAAGCCUUACUCAAUUUAACCCCAAUCCCUUCUCUAACCUUGACCCUAGGUUUAUAUAAACACUAUCAGUGUCCUCUCCUCCUUCUCAUUGAGUGACAUUGACAUGGUCACACUGUAAUAAUGGCAAAUACUAUGCUAUGGUGAAAAGUGUAUUACCUACUGUAUUUUGACGUUUAAUUUUUGACAGUUUCAAACAGUACAUUGUUUGUGUUCACUCCAUGUGGCACACAGACUGAGUGGAAAGUGCAUGUUUGAUCAUUAAAAGGCACUAUGGGUAAAAUUAGCUGUUUCAGUACACUGGGCGAAUCAAAAGCCUGAAAGAAAUGUUACACUCUGAACCCAGAAGAACCUACGUAUGAGGCAAUCAUGUAACACCGCCGCUAUGAAUAUGCCAGCAUGCUCUGUGAUUGAGAUGUGAGUUUGGGACAGUAAAGUAUUUUAUAUCAUUGAAAACCUCACAGUAUGGCUACUGCACUUUUCGCGUAUCAUAUUUAAGUACUACAUCAAAUAUUUGUAAUGUUUUGUGUGUGUGUGAGUGUAUGGUGUGUGCAAGUGUGUAUGAGUGUAUAGUGUGUGUGAGUGUAAGAAGAAGAGGGAGAAGUAGGAGAGGGAGAAGAGGGAGAGAAUCAGGAGGAGAGAGAGAGAGAGAAAAAAGACCAUGGCAAAAUGCAUUGUGGGUAUUAUUUAGAGCCAUUGACAGCUGCUA